Molecule: ribosomal RNA, 580 nt
Filed under: Nitrospinaceae bacterium
Lineage: Bacteria; Pseudomonadati; Nitrospinota; Nitrospinia; Nitrospinales; Nitrospinaceae
Description: bacterial SSU rRNA
Rfam family: Bacterial small subunit ribosomal RNA
Source: RNAcentral
UAACUGGAGAGUUUGAUCCUGGCUCAGAACGAACGCUGGCGGUGUGCUUAACACAUGCAAGUCGAACGAGAAAGUUUCCUUCGGGGAACUAGUAAAGUGGCGCAAGGGUGAGUAACACGUGAAUAAUCUGCCCUCGAGACUGGGAUAACCUGGGGAAACUUAGGCUAAUACCGGAUAAGACCACGUUUCAUAUGGGAUGUGGGAAAAGGAGUCUCAAUCUUCACUCGAGGAUGAGUUCGCGGACCAUUAGCUUGUUGGUGAGAUAAAAGCUCACCAAGGCAACGAUGGUUAGCCGACCUGAGAGGGUGAUCGGCCACACUGGAACUGAGACACGGUCCAGACUCCUACGGGAGGCAGCAGUGGGGAAUAUUGCGCAAUGGGCGAAAGCCUGACGCAGCAACACCGUGUGAGCGAUGAAGGCCUUAGGGUUGUAAAGCUCUGUCAAAUGGGAAGAAUUAUGACGGUACCAUUAGAGGAAGCCCCGGCUAACUCCGUGCCAGCAGCCGCGGUAAUACGGAGGGGGCAAGCGUUGUUCGGAAUUAUUGGGCGUAAAGCGUAUGUAGGCGGCCGAGUAAGUCAG